Molecule: ribosomal RNA, 254 nt
Filed under: uncultured bacterium
Lineage: Bacteria
Description: partial 16S ribosomal RNA
Rfam family: Bacterial small subunit ribosomal RNA
Source: RNAcentral
UACGGGGGGGGCAAGCGUUGUUCGGAAUUACUGGGCGUAAAGGGCUCGUAGGCGGCCAACUAAGUCGGAUGUGAAAUCCCCAGGCUCAACUUGGGAACUGCAUCCGAUACUGGAUGGCUUGAAUUCGGGAGAGGGAUGCAGAAUUCCAGGUGUAGCGGUGAAAUGCGUAGAUAUCUGGAGGAAUACCGGUGGCGAAGGCGGCAUCCUGGACCGACAUUGACGCUGAGUGAGCGAAAGCCAGGGGAGCAAACGGG